This 76-nucleotide transfer RNA is filed under the name Mitsuokella multacida. Its description in RNAcentral is "tRNA-Ala". It matches the Rfam family "tRNA". From Rfam's summary of the family: Transfer RNA (tRNA) molecules are approximately 80 nucleotides in length. Their secondary structure includes four short double-helical elements and three loops (D, anti-codon, and T loops). The record is from RNAcentral. Lineage: Bacteria; Bacillati; Bacillota; Negativicutes; Selenomonadales; Selenomonadaceae. RNAcentral also lists the same sequence under 15 other names.
GGGGACGUAGCUCAGCUGGGAGAGCGUUCGGUUCGCAUCCGAGAGGUCGAGGGUUCAAUCCCCUUCGUCUCCACCA